UGCGUAGGCGGACUCGAAAGCGUUCUGUGAAAGCCCCCGGCUCAACCGGGGAACAGCAGGGCGAACUGCGAGUCUAGAAGCAAGUAGGGGCGGGCAGAACAGUGGGUGGAGCGGUGAAAUGCGUAGAUAUCCACUGGAAUGCCGAUGGGAAGCCGGCCCGCUGGGCUUGUCUUGACGCUGAGGCACGAAAGCGUGGGGAUCAAACA
This 206-nucleotide ribosomal RNA is filed under the name uncultured bacterium. RNAcentral describes it as "partial 16S ribosomal RNA". It matches the Rfam family "Bacterial small subunit ribosomal RNA", at positions 568 to 774 of the family's 1533-position model. The record is from RNAcentral.